AACCGUCUGUACUGAUCCUUUUCCGAAACUACGCGUGCCCAAAAUUAUCGCACGAUUAUGAUCUUGCAAUGCUCCUGCCACAAUUUCCGAUGCUGACGCAGAUCCACGGUUUAUCAGAACUACUAUGGGAAGCUCGGUAUUAAUACUGUCCUUUGAUGCUAGGUAUUCAUUGUUCGCCUGUUCUAUCCGACCCUCGGUGUAGACAAUCGUUCCAUCCUCUAUAAAGGAGUCAACAAUUUCAACGGCCGACUGCACUACGCCCCCG
This 265-nucleotide non-coding RNA is filed under the name marine eukaryotic metagenome. The record is from RNAcentral.